This 800-nucleotide long non-coding RNA is filed under the name Ricinus communis (castor bean). RNAcentral's name for it is "long non-coding RNA (RCOM_LNC003014)". Lineage: Eukaryota; Viridiplantae; Streptophyta; Magnoliopsida; Malpighiales; Euphorbiaceae. The record is from RNAcentral.
AGACAGCAUCUCAUCUUACGUGGGAGGAAGGAACAUCAAACCUCAAAAUAAAUUGGAGCUUCAGACCAGAAUCUCUUCCUUUUCUCUCCGCCCCAUAACAACUUCCAUCUCCUCAAAAGAUCAACACCAGCAGCAACCUCGCUUCAAUAAAAAUAAUAAUAUUUUCUUUUUCUUUUUCUAAAAAGUUAAUUAAUUUUACUACAAUUCUCAUAAUAAUCAUCGUCCUCUGUAAAACAAAGAGAAGAGAAGAGACGGUUUUUCUUUCACAAACCUCUCUCAACUCCUCAGGUACCCACACCUCUUCCAUCACUUCACCUCUCUUUUUUUUUUCUUUUGCAUGUAAUUACCUUGUUUUAUAAUUUCUUUUUGUAAGUAGGAUUGGAUUUAUGUAAUUUUGGCGUAAUUAAUGGUUUCAUUAAUUUGAAUUUAAAGUUUUAUACUCUUUUUCUUUAUUAAGUGAUGUUUUUUUCACUGUUAAUAUUUGAAAAAUUCUGAUCCUUUUAGUGAAGGAGUUUGUUUAGAAUUUUGGAUAUUGACCUUUGGAUUGAAUAAAGUAUUGAUGUCUUCGUUUUGAAUUUUUUUUUUUGGUGAAUUUGAAGGACUCUGUUAUUGUUCAUAGCCUGAGAAAGUGGUAAGCUUUUGACUUUAAGAAUGAGAAGAAGUGUUCGAUGCGCACGCCAACUUCUAUCAGCUUUUCAAGACCAAGAUUACAGUUACUCUUUUAGUUUGGUGGUGAAAAGACGAGAAAACCAUUCUAUACAUACCAACUAUAGCACUCGUGUUUCAAGAUUUACAUNNNN